CCCUUAGAUGUCCUGGGCCGCACGCGUGCUACACUGAGUGGAUCAGCGGGUCAGGUUGCGCGAAAGCGUUUCCUAAUCUUUAAAUCCGCUCGUGAUGGGGAUUGACGGUUGCAAUUUUCUGUCAUGAACGAGGAAUACCUUGUAAGCGCGGGUCAUCAUCCCGCGCUGAAUACGUCCCUGCCCUUUGUACACACCGCCCGUCGCUCCUACCGAUUGAGUGGUCCGGUGAGGCUUUGGGAUCUGAGCGGAAAGAGCGUUUCGCUGUUUCUGCUCGGAAAACUCAGUCGAACCUUAUCACUUAGAGGAAGGAGAAGUCGUAACA
RNAcentral lists this ribosomal RNA (322 nucleotides) under uncultured eukaryote. RNAcentral describes it as "partial 18S ribosomal RNA". It matches the Rfam family "Eukaryotic small subunit ribosomal RNA", at positions 1470 to 1796 of the family's 1831-position model. The record is from RNAcentral.